Molecule: non-coding RNA, 759 nt
Filed under: Pseudocolaspis sp. EMHAU_15070625
Lineage: Eukaryota; Metazoa; Arthropoda; Insecta; Coleoptera; Chrysomelidae
Source: RNAcentral
AAAAAAGUUUUAUUUUAGUUUAAAAUAAAUUAUAUUUUCUUAAGAUUUACAUGUAAAUUUUUUUAUUUAGAGAGUUUAUUAGCAGUAUUUAAUUUUAAAAAUAUUAUUAUAAAGGAUUUGGUUAUAAGUUUAAAUUUUAACAAAUUUUGUGCCAGCAGUUGCGGUUAUACAAUUAUAAGUGAUAUAAUUUUUUUAAUUAUUAUUUAGUUAAAUUAAUGUUAAGAUUAUUAUAUACUAAUUUUAGGUGAAAUUUUAUUGGUUAAAAUAAUCUUAUGUUUUAAAGAUUGAAACUAAGAAUUCUAUUUUUUAGACAAGGAUUAGAGACCCUUUUAUUUUAGGUGUUAAUUAUUUGAUUAAUUAGUAUUAGUUAUUUUCUUGAAAUUUAAAAAAUUUGGCGGUGUUUUAGACUAGUUAGAGGAAUCUGUUCUGUUAUUGAUAUUCCACGAUAAUAAGUACUUAAAAUUUGUUUGUAUAUCGUUGUUGUUAAAAAUUUUAUUAAAAUUUUAAUUUUUAUUAUUUUUAAUUAAAAAAUAAUUCAAAUCAAGGUGCAGCUUUUUUAAGGUAGAAAUGGAUUACAAAAAAGUUAUUUUAGGAUUUGUUAAUAAGAAUUAAUUUUGAAUUUGGAUUUAAAAGUAAUUUAAAUUUUUUUGUUUAAGUGAUUAUUGGCUCUGAAAUAUGUACAUAUCGCCCGUCGCUUUCAUUAUUAAUUUGAAAUAAGUCGUAACAUAGUAGAUUAACCGGAAGGUGAAUCUAGAAAGU